CAGUAGCCGCGGGAAUACGAAGGGGGCUAGCGUUGCUCGGAAUGACUGGGCGUAAAGGGCGCGUAGGCGGCGAUCAAAGUCAGGCGUGAAAUUCCUGGGCUUAACCUGGGGACUGCAUUCGAUACGUGCGGGCUUGAGUGUGGAAGAGGGUUGUGGAAUUCCCAGUGUAGAGGUGAAAUUCGUAGAUAUUGGGAAGAACACCGGUGGCGAGGGCGGCAACCUGGUCCAUGACUGACGCUGAGGCGCGAAAGCGUGGGGAGCAAACAGGAUUAGAUACCCCCGUAGUCCCUGUCUCUUAUAC
RNAcentral lists this ribosomal RNA (301 nucleotides) under uncultured bacterium. RNAcentral's name for it is "partial 16S ribosomal RNA". It matches the Rfam family "Bacterial small subunit ribosomal RNA", at positions 509 to 807 of the family's 1533-position model. The record is from RNAcentral.